GAUGAACGCUAGCGGCAGGCUUAACACAUGCAAGUCGAGGGGCAGCGCGAUGUAGCAAUACAUUGGCGGCGACCGGCGCACGGGUGCGUAACACGUAUGGAACUUACCCUUUACUGGGAGAUAGCCCGGAGAAAUCCGGAUUAAUAUCCCAUAAUAAACGAAGUGGCAUCACUUUGUUUUGAAAGCUCCGGCGGUAAAGGAUGGCCAUGCGCACGAUUAGCUAGUAGGUGAGGUAACGGCUCACCUAGGCUACGAUCGUUAGGGGGCCUGAGAGGGUUAUCCCCCACACUGGUACUGAGACACGGACCAGACUCCUACGGGAGGCAGCAGUGAGGAAUAUUGCGCAAUGGAGGCAACUCUGACGCAGCCAUGCCGCGUGCAGGAAGAAGGCGCUACGCGUUGUAAACUGCUUUUAACCGGGAAGAAACCCUCCGACGUGUCGGAGGUUGACGGUACCGGAGGAAUAAGCACCGGCUAACUUCGUGCCAGCAGCCGCGGUAAAGUAGACGU
Molecule: ribosomal RNA, 510 nt
Filed under: uncultured bacterium
Lineage: Bacteria
Description: bacterial SSU rRNA
Rfam family: Bacterial small subunit ribosomal RNA
Source: RNAcentral